This 621-nucleotide ribosomal RNA is filed under the name Gardnerella vaginalis. RNAcentral's name for it is "bacterial LSU rRNA". It matches the Rfam family "Bacterial large subunit ribosomal RNA", at positions 1371 to 1878 of the family's 2925-position model. The record is from RNAcentral. Lineage: Bacteria; Bacillati; Actinomycetota; Actinomycetes; Bifidobacteriales; Bifidobacteriaceae.
GUCCCCGGGUGAGUCGAGUCCUAAGGCGAGGCCGACAGGCGUAGUCGAAUGGAUGAACGGGUUGAUAUUCCCGUACCGGUGUUACACCGUUCGAACUGAAUCUGAGAGUACUAACCUUCAUUUAUAGGCUGGCUUCCUUUCGGGGUUGUUGGCUUGUUUGUGUUGGGAGCGUAUCGGUAGUAGGUUAGCGUGGGAGUGACGCGGGUAGGUAGCCGGCUGCGGAGGUGGUUUUCCGUGGCUAAGCGUGUGGGCUGUCCUCUAGGUAAAUCCGGGGGAUGUUAAAGCUGAGGCGUGAUGGGUAGGCUGUAAGGCUGAUUCCGGUGAUCCUGCUUGCCAAGAAAAGCUUCAACGUGAGGUGUGAUUCCGCUCGUACCCUAAACCGACACUGGUGGUCUGGUAGAGUAUACCGAAGCGAUCGGGCGAAUCCUGGCCAAGGAACUCGGCAAAUUACUCCCGUGCCUUCGGCAUAAGGGAGACCCCUGAUGGUGAUAUGGUUUCACACUGUUGAGCUGUUGGGGGUGGCACAAGCUAGGGGGUAGCGACUGUUUACCAAAAACACAGGAGCGUGCGAAGGCGUAAGCCGCUGUAUACGCUCUGACGCCUGCCCGGUGCCGGAAGGUU